UUUGGAUUUCAGGUAUUCGCUUGGUUCUUUGGAAUUUGAGAGGAAAGUCCGGACACCACAGGGCAGGAAUCCCCGUGAAAGCGGGGGCACUUCGUGUAGUGCGAGGUGACGGCCAGUGUCACAGAAAACGAUACCGCCAGGAAUUCGUUCCUGGUAAGGGUGAAAAGGUGGGGUAAGAGCCCACCGCGCUUUCGGGUAACCGGAGCGGCAGGAUAAACCCAUUCUGGUGCAAGACAAAUAGGGGGUCGGGUUGCCCGCCCAAUGAUCCCGGGUAUGUCGCACUCCGUGAUCGGAGAACAGGUUCACCUGUUAGAUAAAUGAAUACCGGCCCGCAAGGGUCACAGAAUCCGGCUUAAGGAGAUCCAAAGCUA
This 371-nucleotide RNase P RNA is filed under the name Verrucomicrobiia bacterium. RNAcentral describes it as "RNase P RNA component class A". It matches the Rfam family "Bacterial RNase P class A". Rfam says of the family: Ribonuclease P (RNase P) is a ubiquitous endoribonuclease, found in archaea, bacteria and eukarya as well as chloroplasts and mitochondria. Its best characterised activity is the generation of mature 5'-ends of tRNAs by cleaving the 5'-leader elements of precursor-tRNAs. Lineage: Bacteria; Pseudomonadati; Verrucomicrobiota; Verrucomicrobiia. The record is from RNAcentral.